UGACAAUAAGUGGUGUCGAUCUCUGAGAU
Molecule: non-coding RNA, 29 nt
Filed under: Rattus norvegicus (Norway rat)
Lineage: Eukaryota; Metazoa; Chordata; Mammalia; Rodentia; Muridae
Source: RNAcentral